RNAcentral lists this ribosomal RNA (1004 nucleotides) under Aglaiogyrodactylus pedunculatus. RNAcentral describes it as "bacterial SSU rRNA". It matches the Rfam family "Eukaryotic small subunit ribosomal RNA", at positions 98 to 982 of the family's 1831-position model. Lineage: Eukaryota; Metazoa; Platyhelminthes; Monogenea; Gyrodactylidea; Oogyrodactylidae. The record is from RNAcentral.
CCAUUAAAUCAGAUAUGGUUUCUUGGAUCAUACAUACUACACGGAUACUGUAGUAAUUCUAGAGCUAAUACGUGCCUCGAGUCCCAGAUUCAUUAGAUGACGGGCGCACUUAUAGAUCAUAAACCAACCGGGUUAACUCGGCGUUUGUGGUGACUCUGGAUAACUUAGUAUGAUCGCGUCGGCCUUGUUGCCGGCGACAGAUCCAUAAAAUGUCUGCCCUAUCAACUUACGAUGGUAGGUAAUAUGCCUACCAUGGUUAUGACGGGUAACGGGGAAUCAGGGUUCGAUUCCGGAGAGGGAGCCUGAGAAACGGCUACCACAUCCAAGGAAGGCAGCAGGCGCGCAAAUUACCCACUCUCAGAGAGAGGAGGUAGUAAAGACAAAUAUCGAUGCAGGACCUAUAUGAGGCUCUGUAAUCGAAAUGAGUGCAUAAUAAAUCCUACAACAAGGAUCCAUUGGAGGGCAAGUCUGGUGCCAGCAGCCGCGGUAACUCCAGCUCCAAUAGCAUAUAUUAAAAUUGUUGCAGUUAAAAAGCUCGUAGUUGGAUCUGGACUUUGGUGUGGAGGCUAGAGGUGUUCGUUUGGGUGGGGUAACCCUCGCUUAAGCGGGCCUUUUGGUGAUUCUGCGCCUUGUCUAAUAGCUGUAUCUGUGUAAAGGUUUACUUUUGCAUGGAUGUUAGCGAAUGUGGGGUGGGUUUGCAGUAAUGUGGCCUACUUCCUUCGUUAAUAUGUGCCAUCAUGCCUUUAACCGGGUGUGAGGUACGGACAGCACGUUUACUUUGAACAAAUUUGAGUGCUCAAAGCAGGCCUUGUUGCCUGAAAAGUCUUGCAUGGAAUAAUAGAAUAGGACUUUGGUCCUAUUUUGUUGGUUUAACAGAACUAAAGUAAUGAUAAAGAGAGACAGACGGGGGCAUUUGUAUGGCAGCGCGAGAGGUGAAAUUCGUAGACCGUUGCCAGACAAUCUAAAGCGAAAGCAUCUGCCAAGUAUGUUUUCAUUUACCAGGA